AUACGUAGGUGGCAAGCGUUGUCCGGAAUUACUGGGUGUAAAGGGAGCGCAGGCGGGACAGCAAGUUGGAUGUGAAAUACCGCAGCUCAACUGCGGAGCUGCAUCCAAAACUGUUGUUCUUGAGUGGAGUAGAGGUAGGCGGAAUUCCGAGUGUAGCGGUGAAAUGCGUAGAUAUUCGGAGGAACACCAGUGGCGAAGGCGGCCUGCUGGGCUCUUACUGACGCUGAGGCUCGAAAGUGUGGGGAGCAAACAGGAUUAGAUACCCUAGUAGUCCACGCCGUAAACGAUGAGUACUAAGUGUCGGGAAACCGGUGCUGAAGUUAACACAUUAAGUACUCCGCCUGAGUAGUACGGUCGCAAGGCUGAAACUCAAAUGAAUUGACGGGG
This 387-nucleotide ribosomal RNA is filed under the name uncultured bacterium. RNAcentral describes it as "partial 16S ribosomal RNA". It matches the Rfam family "Bacterial small subunit ribosomal RNA", at positions 523 to 918 of the family's 1533-position model. The record is from RNAcentral.